This 240-nucleotide ribosomal RNA is filed under the name uncultured bacterium. RNAcentral's name for it is "partial 16S ribosomal RNA". It matches the Rfam family "Bacterial small subunit ribosomal RNA", at positions 98 to 339 of the family's 1533-position model. The record is from RNAcentral.
GCGCACGGGUGAGUAACGCGUAUCCAACCUACCCAAUACUCAGGCAUAACCCGUUGAAAGACGGACUAAUUCCUGAUGGUAUGUAUUUUUCUCAUGAAUUAUACAUUAAAGAAUUUCGGUAUUGGAUGGGGAUGCGUCUGAUUAGUUUGUUGGUGAGGUAACGGCUCACCAAGACUUCGAUCAGUAGGGGUUCUGAGAGGAAGGUCCCCCACAUUGGAACUGAGACACGGUCCAAACUCC